UCGAGAAUCUUCCGCAAUGGGCGAAAGCCUGACGGAGCGACGCCGCGUGUAGGAUGAAGGCCCUCGGGUUGUAAACUACUGUCACGGGUUAUGAAUGUGCAUAUGUUAACAGCGUGUGUAUUGACGUAAGCCCGAAAGGAAGCACCGGCUAACUCUGUGCCAGCAGCCGCGGUAAUACAGAGGGUGCAAACGUUGUUCGGAAUUACUGGGCAUAAAGCGCGCGUAGGCGGCGACGUAAGUGUAGGGUGAAAUCCCACGGCUCACCCGUGUGAAUUGCCCCGCAUACUGCGUUGCUCGAGUGUGGUAGGGGAGAGCGGAACUCCUGGUGGAGCGGUGAAAUGCGUAGAUAUCAGGAGGAACACCGGUGGCGUAGGCGGCUCUCUGGUCCAUAACUGACGCUGAAGUGCGAAAGCUAGGGUAGCGAACGGGAUUAGAUACCCGCGUAGUCCCUGAGCGGGCUGGCAAGGCGCAU
RNAcentral lists this ribosomal RNA (472 nucleotides) under uncultured bacterium. Its description in RNAcentral is "bacterial SSU rRNA". It matches the Rfam family "Bacterial small subunit ribosomal RNA", at positions 355 to 825 of the family's 1533-position model. The record is from RNAcentral.